UACGUAGGGGCGAGCGUUGUCCGGAUUUACUGGGCGUAAAGGGUGAGUAGGCGGUUGUAUAUGUCAGAUGUAAAGGCACAGGCUUAACUUGUGUAAGCAUUUGAAACUGUACAACUUGAGUGCAGGAGAGGUAAGUGGAAUUCCUAGUGUAGCGGUGAAAUGCGUAGAUAUUAGGAGGAACACCAGUGGCGAAGGCGACUUACUGGACUGUAACUGACGCUGAGUCACGAAAGCGUGGGUAGCAAACAGG
Molecule: ribosomal RNA, 250 nt
Filed under: uncultured bacterium
Lineage: Bacteria
Description: partial 16S ribosomal RNA
Rfam family: Bacterial small subunit ribosomal RNA
Source: RNAcentral